RNAcentral lists this ribosomal RNA (484 nucleotides) under uncultured bacterium. RNAcentral's name for it is "partial 16S ribosomal RNA". It matches the Rfam family "Bacterial small subunit ribosomal RNA", at positions 29 to 507 of the family's 1533-position model. The record is from RNAcentral.
AUUGAACGCUGGCGGCAUGCUUUACACAUGCAAGUCGAACGGCAGCGCGGGCUUCGGCCUGGCGGCGAGUGGCGAACGGGUGAGUAAUGCAUCGGAACGUGCCCAGUAGUGGGGGAUAGCCCGGCGAAAGCCGGAUUAAUACCGCAUACGACCUGAGGGUGAAAGCGGGGGACCGAAAGGCCUCGCGCUAUUGGAGCGGCCGAUGUCGGAUUAGCUAGUUGGUGGGGUAAAGGCUUACCAAGGCGACGAUCCGUAGCUGGUCUGAGAGGACGACCAGCCACACUGGAACUGAGACACGGCCCAGACUCCUACGGGAGGCAGCAGUGGGGAAUUUUGGACAAUGGGGGCAAGCCUGAUCCAGCCAUGCCGCGUGCGGGAAGAAGGCCUUCGGGUUGUAAAGCGCUUUUGUUCGGGAAGAAAUCCUCUGGGCUAAUACCCCGGGGGGAUGACGGUACCGGAAGAAUAAGCACCGGCUAACUACGUG